RNAcentral lists this transfer RNA (71 nucleotides) under Parcubacteria group bacterium. Its description in RNAcentral is "tRNA-Gln". It matches the Rfam family "tRNA". From Rfam's summary of the family: Transfer RNA (tRNA) molecules are approximately 80 nucleotides in length. Their secondary structure includes four short double-helical elements and three loops (D, anti-codon, and T loops). RNAcentral also lists the same sequence under 1 other name. The record is from RNAcentral.
UGCCAGAUCGUCUAAUGGUAGGACACUGGUUUCUGGUACCAGGUAUCUAGGUUCGAGUCCUAGUCUGGCAA